RNAcentral lists this unclassified non-coding RNA (157 nucleotides) under uncultured Roussoella. RNAcentral describes it as "sequence contains ITS2". Lineage: Eukaryota; Fungi; Ascomycota; Dothideomycetes; Pleosporales; Thyridariaceae. The record is from RNAcentral.
AACCCUCAAGCCUAGCUUGGUAUUGGGUGCUUGUCCCGCCUCCGCGCGGUCGACUCACCUCAAAGUCAUUGGCAGCCCGCAUCCGCCGGCCGUGAGCGCAGCACAGACGCGCCCGUGGUCCCGGCGGUUCGGCUCUCCAGAAGCUUGUUUUAACCCC